UUUAUUGAGAGUUUGAUCCUGGCUCAGGAUGAACGCUGGCGGCAUGCCUAAGACAUGCAAGUCGAACGAGAUGGCCCAGUGAAGGUUGAGUGCUUGCACAAGACUGAAUCUGGAUUCCCAUCUAGUGGCAGACGGGUGAGUAACACGUGGGUGACCUACCUUUUCGUUGGGGAUAACAGUUGGAAACGAUUGCUAAUACCGAAUAAAAUGUAAGAGUCAAUUUUACAUUGAAAGGAGCCUUUAAAGCUUCGCGAUUAGAUGGGCCUGCGGCGUAUUAACUAGUUGGUGAGGUAAUGGCUUACCAAGGUGACGAUGCGUAGCCGAACUGAGAGGUUGAUCGGCCACAUUGGGACUGAGACACGGCCCAAACUCCUACGGGAGACAGCAGUUAGGAAUAUUCGUCAAUGGAGGAAACUCUGAACGAGCAAUGCCGCGUGAGUGAUGAAGGUCUUAUAGAUUGUAAAACUCUGUUGUAUGGAAAAAACGACUAGGUUA
This 495-nucleotide ribosomal RNA is filed under the name Bacilli bacterium. RNAcentral's name for it is "bacterial SSU rRNA". It matches the Rfam family "Bacterial small subunit ribosomal RNA", at positions 1 to 460 of the family's 1533-position model. Lineage: Bacteria; Bacillati; Bacillota; Bacilli. The record is from RNAcentral.